CUUGAAACUGUAACUCUCGUUCAGGAGUUGGGGAAAAUAAAGAUAGGGGUGUGUGCGCGUGUGCGUGUGUGUUUUCUACCAGACUGGAAUAAUAUAACAGAUAAAAGGAUGGAAGUUAGCAAAGAAGAAUUUAACUGAAGGAGAAGUGUUACGUAGGAAAAAUCACGAGACUGCAGUUGGAAAACUAGGUUGGAGCUCCUCGUGGAAGAGUUUGCAUGACAAACUACAAAGCAGGGAGCCACUGAAGCUACUUUGGAAUACGGGAAUUCACCUGUUUUUUACGUACUCAGCUGCCGUGCAUUGAGCCCUUCCCACAAGCCAGCCGUUUGCUAAGUGCUGUGGAUCAGCAAAGCUAAAAUUCACUUGGAUCCUGACUUCAAGCAGCUUAGCGUCUAGCAGUUGAUAUUAGAUAUGUAUAUAAGUAACCAUAACACAAAAUAGAAAGUGGUGUAUCGUGUGAAGUAAAAACUGGGAAGCAAGAGGGAUUGCUUCCUGCAGGGGAUGAGAGCAAAACGUAAUAGAAGAUUUUCAGGUGAAGGGAAGGUUGAUCUUGGCAGUAAGGAUGUAUUGAAGACUUGAGCAAGAGAAGCCACUUAGAAGCUACCAAGGUUUUUUGUAUAUCAUCUUAUAUUGAACAUAUGCAAUUUUAUAAUGUAACAAUUUAGAUUGCUUAUAUGUAUGGAAUAAUACGUAGAAUGCAUGUGGAUAAACAAAUUGUGGUGUAUUCAUACAAUGGAAUACCAAUUUAUGGCCAUAAAAAGGAACAAACUACUGACUCGUGCAACAACGUGGAUGAAUGUUCCCCCACGUUAUCGUGAGUAAGAGAAACUGGAGGCGAAAGAGGAAAGCCUGAGAUGAAUGUCAUCUGUCUGAAUGCAACAUGGAAACUUCAGUGAAUGUGUUAGAACAGAACUCGUAUGAGAGCAUCAGCCAGAAACACAAUGGAGCUCCCAGAUAGAAGUGGUUGGAUGGAGCCAGGAACAGCAGAGAACUCCGGCCGAGGGGUGACCCACCAGCAUCGUUCCACCAGCCUCCAGCGAUGGUGGGUGUGGACUUGAACUUCCAACUUCAGUCUAGGCCAAGGGGAGGGCAGUGAGAGGUUCGCAUACCCAUCAUCCCUUCCAUGCCCAUAAAGGUUCCUAAAAUAUCAUUCGUUAGCCCCAAACUGUAUGAGACCCUCCCUCCUAGUGUUCCCCUGUGCAACUGUCACAACAUGAUUAAUCUAAUUUGCAGUAUUAUUUGUUUGCUUGUCUUAUCUCCCUGCUCUCUACAUUCUUAUGUUAUGUAAGUACCUUGAGGUCAGGGACAUCUCUAGAUGAUCUUUGUACAAGUCAUUACAUGAAGAAAAUGCUCAAUAAAUAUUUGUGUUU
This 1370-nucleotide long non-coding RNA is filed under the name Homo sapiens (human). RNAcentral's name for it is "HSALNT0084712". Lineage: Eukaryota; Metazoa; Chordata; Mammalia; Primates; Hominidae. The record is from RNAcentral.